RNAcentral lists this ribosomal RNA (429 nucleotides) under Bacillota bacterium. Its description in RNAcentral is "Firmicutes bacterium partial 16S ribosomal RNA". It matches the Rfam family "Bacterial small subunit ribosomal RNA", at positions 355 to 776 of the family's 1533-position model. The record is from RNAcentral. Lineage: Bacteria; Bacillati; Bacillota.
UAGGGAAUCUUCGGCAAUGGACGCAAGUCUGACCGAGCAACGCCGCGUGAGUGAAGAAGGUUUUCGGAUCGUAAAGCUCUUUAGGUAGAGAAGAAGGUUGGUAGGAGUGGAAAAUCUACCAAGUGACGGUAACUAACCAGUAAGGGACGGCUAACUACGUGCCAGCAGCCGCGGUAAUACGUAGGUCCCGAGCGUUUUCCGGAUUUAUUGGGCGUAAAGCGAGCGUAGGCGGUUCUUUAAGUCUGAAGUUAAAGGCAGUGGCUUAACCAUUGUACGCUUUGGAUACUGGAGGACUUGAGUGCAGAAGGGGAGAGUAGAAUUCCAUGUGUAGCGGUGAAAUGCGUAGAUAUAUGGAGGAACACCGGUGGCGAAAGCGGCUAUCUGGUCUGUAACUGACGCUGAGGUUCGAAAGCGUGGGGAGCAAACAGG